RNAcentral lists this non-coding RNA (30 nucleotides) under Mus musculus (house mouse). The record is from RNAcentral. Lineage: Eukaryota; Metazoa; Chordata; Mammalia; Rodentia; Muridae.
GCCAGGGACCUUUUCAAGUAGGGAAAUUGA